This 423-nucleotide ribosomal RNA is filed under the name Lepiota pseudolilacea. Its description in RNAcentral is "SSU rRNA". It matches the Rfam family "Bacterial small subunit ribosomal RNA", at positions 366 to 796 of the family's 1533-position model. The record is from RNAcentral. Lineage: Eukaryota; Fungi; Basidiomycota; Agaricomycetes; Agaricales; Agaricaceae.
UGUCAAUGCUUGUAAGAGUGAACUAGCUAACUGAAAUCUUAAAAUCAUUGUAUUGAUGGUUCUUGAGAUAACGUAAGGGAUAAAAAUGAUAUUACCUUACUAUAAGUGUUGUCCAACAUUACUGGUGCCAGAAGACUCGGUAACGCCAGAAACGCAAACGUUAGUCGUCCUAAACAGGCGUAAAGGGUAAGUAGGCUGCUUUGAAAGUUUUUAAUUAGAAAGCUCUUUUUUAAAAAAAAUUAAAGUAAUUAAUAAUGAAUUAAAGCUAGAAUCAAAUAGGGGAUAAGCCAAAUAAUAUUUAGUGUAAGGCUAAUAUCUUUAGAUACUAAAUGGAAUACUAAGGUGAAAACUUUUAUCUACUAAUGAUUGACGCUGAGGAACGAAGGUGAGAAUAGAAAACAGGAUUAGAGACCCAGGUAUCUC